This 1296-nucleotide long non-coding RNA is filed under the name Anas zonorhyncha (Eastern spot-billed duck). RNAcentral describes it as "lncRNA (ENSAZOG00000004943.1)". The record is from RNAcentral. Lineage: Eukaryota; Metazoa; Chordata; Aves; Anseriformes; Anatidae.
CCCAAAUGUGCCCUGGGUUUGUGUCAUAUCCUUGGGACCCCAAUAAUGGCACAGGGGUCCCCAAAUGUGCCCCGUGUUCACAUCAUGUCCCUGGGACCCCAAUAAUGGCACAGGGGUUCCCAAAUGUGCCCUGGGUUUGUGUCAUAUCCUUGGGACCCCAAUAAUGGCACAGGGGUCCCCAAAUGUGCCCCGUGUUCACAUCAUGUCCCUGGGACCCCAAUAAUGGCACAGGGGUUCCCAAAUGUGCCCUGGGUUUGUGUCAUAUCCUUGGGACCCCAAUAAUGUCAGGGGGGUCCCCAAAUGUGCCCCAUGCUCACAUUGUGUCUUGGGGACCCCAGUAAUGGCACAGGGGUCCCCAAAUGUGCCCCACACUCACAUUGUGUCCUGGGGACCCCAGUAAUGGCACGGGGGUCCCCAAAUGUGUCCCAUGUUUGUGUCAUGUCCCUGGGACCCCAAUAAUGGCAUGGGGGUCCCCAAAUGUGCCCCGUGUUUGUGCUGUGAUCCUGGGACCCCAAUAAUAUCAGGGGGGUCCCCAAAUGUGCCCUGGGUUUGUGUCAUAUCCUUGGGACCCCAAUAAUGGCACAGGGGUCCCCAAAUGUGCCCCGUGCUUGCAUCGUGUGUCUGGGACUCUGAUAACAGCACAGGGGGCCCCAAAUGUGUCCCAUGUUAGUGUCAUGUCCCCGAGACCCCAAUAAUGACGGGGGGGGCCUCAAAUGUGCCCCAGGUUUGUGUUGUGGCCCUGGGAUCCCAAUAAUGGCACAGGGGUCCCCAAAUGUGCCCUAUGUUUGCAUCAUGUCCCUGGGACCCCAGUAAUGGCAGAGGGGUCCCCAAAUGUGCCCCGUGUUUGUACUGUGACCCUGGUACCCCAAUAAUGGCACGGGGGGGCCCAAACGUACCCUGGGUUUGUGUCAUAUCCUUGGGACCCCCAUAAUGGCAUGGAGGUCCCCAGAUGUGCCCCAUGCUCAUUCGGCACCCCCUUUUCCUCCCCCUACACACCCCCAUAGGGGUGCUGGCCCCACCCCAUACAGCAGCGAGUUUGGGGGUGCCCCCCAGCCCCUCCUCCCUUACCCCCCCCCUCUUUUUCUCCGCAGGGGGAGGGUUUACACCAGCUCCGCGAGGCUUUGAAGAUUUUAGCCGAGCGGGUUUUAAUCUUGGAAACAAUGAUUGGGCUCUAUGGCCCGUAGCUUCCAGAGCCUCCUGCGGCAGCAGGCCCGGCUGGAGGUCCUGGCCAGGAGGGUCACCUUGCUGGAAGCCAUCAUCUGGCCAGAACCCGAGCCCGGUUCGGGCAGUGGGGGU